Molecule: unclassified non-coding RNA, 255 nt
Filed under: Dactylonectria sp.
Lineage: Eukaryota; Fungi; Ascomycota; Sordariomycetes; Hypocreales; Nectriaceae
Also listed under: 2 other names
Description: partial contains 5.8S ribosomal RNA, internal transcribed spacer 2, and large subunit ribosomal RNA
Source: RNAcentral
AACGCACAUUGCGCCCGCUAGUAUUCUGGCGGGCAUGCCUGUCCGAGCGUCAUUUCAACCCUCAAGCCCCCGGGCUUGGUGUUGGGGAUCGGCGAGCCUCCGCGCCCGCCGUCCCCUAAAUCUAGUGGCGGUCUCGCUGUAGCUUCCUCUGCGUAGUAGCACACCUCGCACUGGGAAACAGCGCGGCCACGCCGUUAAACCCCCAACUUCUGAACGUUUGACCUCGGAUCAGGUAGGAAUACCCGCUGAACUUAA